CCUACGGGAGGCAGCAGUGGGGAAUAUUGCACAAUGGGGGAAACCCUGAUGCAGCGACGCCGCGUGAGUGAAGAAGUAUCUCGGUACGUAAAGCUCUAUCCGCAGGGAAGAAAAAAAGUCUUUGGCUUUGGACGGUACCUGACUAAGAAGCCCCGGCUAACUACGUGCCAGCAGCCGCGGUAAUACGUAGGGGGCAAGCGUUAUCCGGAUUUACUGGGUGUAAAGGGAGCGUAGACGGCGAUGCAAGUCUGAAGUGAAAGGCGGGGGCCCAACCCCCGGACUGCUUUGGAAACUGUAUGGCUGGG
This 305-nucleotide ribosomal RNA is filed under the name uncultured bacterium. RNAcentral's name for it is "partial 16S ribosomal RNA". It matches the Rfam family "Bacterial small subunit ribosomal RNA", at positions 338 to 645 of the family's 1533-position model. The record is from RNAcentral.